UAAAUUUUAAAAAAAUGAGAUUGCAUGCAUCUUCACUGAAUCAUGGUAAACUUUAUCGUGUACAAGGCGUGUUUUAGUCAUCUAUAUUAAGUAGUGCAUGCACCCAGGGCCGAAAAAUCUCUUUCAAGGAAGAACUUACAUGAGGCCAAAUAACCAAGAACUCCUGUUUACACGAGCAUCAUAAAAAAAGAGUGGUCAUGCAAUAAGCUGACCCCAGAUCUUAAACUUUUGAUUAAGGGAGUAGCAGAUUCCGCUUACAUAAAAAAGAAAAAGAAUAUUGUAUAUAGUAAUUUAACCUCAUAAAUAUUUUGGUAGCUCCAGUCCAAAAGUAUGAAAUUGUCAUCUUGAAAACCCGAAACAAACAUGGAAAUAAUAGUCUCUUUCAGAAAUAUCAACAAAAGGAGAAUAGGUUAUUUCGGCAACCAAUCCAAAUUGUCAAAAGUUCAAUACAUCAGUUCGGCAAGUGUGAACCUGCAAAGAAAUAAUGAUCAUCAAAUUACAAUAGAGAAACAUGGUAAUGUGUGGCAGGUAACACUAACAAAACCAUCAGAAUACAUUGACCUAUCAGGAAAAUAAGAAGUCUCUCCAAUGGCAGGUAGCAUGCAGAUAUGCAUCUUGUCGUUCCCAUCCACACUCAGCAACAGCAUGUCUACCUUCAACCUCAACUCACUGAAUGAGUUUCCGAACUACAUCCACAGACAAAAGCAGAGCAGCGAUCACUCUAUCAUGUAAACACAUGCAGCAAACAACAUAGAUUGAGCGAGUGUAUGAUUCUGUUAAACUCAAUACACAACCUGACCUGUUAUAGAGAGUCAUGUAGCUUUCGUAUACAUUUUGGUACACACAUCAGGUGAUAAAUGAAAGGCAAGUAAUAGGCAGUUCUUGUGUAUAGUUCACACAUGAGAGAGAUUCUGGCUGCCUCAUAGAAAUUCAGUGCAUACUAAAACUUAUUAGUUGGAGAGGUGGGGGUGAAGGUGGACUAAAACUUAUUUCUUUCUUGGACCUUCAUGAAUCCAAUCCACUGAAAAUGAGUUAGUGACGUCCUCUCCUUCGCCAGGGAGUUCUACACCUACUACAGCCACAGAUUGAGAAGGUCGAGCCCUCGCAGUGAGACUCAGAUCCGGCUGCCCCACAAUAUAUGUUGUUCUAGGCCAGCGGGUGGGUGUCGGAUUCUCCUCUACCGCCGGGCACGGCGGCAACAAUAGGUGGAGGAGAAGCGUGCCGAGUGGACCUGGGAGCAGGAGAACGAGCUCGCCGCUAUAUCUGAUACAGCUCACGAAUCAAGUGCGGUGGAACACCAUAGUUCCUCACAUAUCAAAAUAACAUAUCAGCCUUGGAAGAUCCAAAGGGAAAAGAUCAAUUUAAAAGAACUUACACGAAGAUCGCUGUGAAAAAGAGCAUAGAUCAGGAACUAGUCAAAUACACGAUCACGAGCUUGAAUUGGGUCAUGUCCCUUCCAAGAAGUUGUGGUCCUGGUUUCAUGAUUAGACUUAC
Molecule: long non-coding RNA, 1494 nt
Filed under: Triticum aestivum (bread wheat)
Lineage: Eukaryota; Viridiplantae; Streptophyta; Magnoliopsida; Poales; Poaceae
Description: long non-coding RNA (TAES_LNC027386)
Source: RNAcentral